Mugil cephalus (flathead mullet) is the source of this 1055-nucleotide long non-coding RNA. RefSeq lists it as uncharacterized. The transcript has 5 exons. The record is from RefSeq and is a predicted model, not a curated record. Lineage: Eukaryota; Metazoa; Chordata; Actinopteri; Mugiliformes; Mugilidae.
CUGGACAGAAGUCACUGGAAGCAGAAUGAAAGCGAUGGCUCGUCUGACGCUCCUUCUUGUUCUGCUGUGGGUCGGUACCACAGUGAGCACAGUGGUGGAUGUGCACAAAAGAAUCGUUGGAGGUAAAAAGUGUAAUGACAAAGAGCUAUAAUCGGACCACGUCUGAGACUCCAGUGCCAUGACAUCAUGUUACUAAUAGAAAAAUUUAAAACAAAGGUUCAGCCUAUAAAACUUGGUGACUGCACAACAAAACCCCAACUGGCCUCAGUGCAGAUCGCAGGACAUGGCCCCACCAACGUGAACAGUAAAAAUUAAUUUGUACGCCAGAGAGUAGAUGAUCUUCAGUGUGCAGAUAUUAAAGUCGUUGCCUGUACUGACCUUGAUUACACUAUGUGGAACACACGGUCUACUGCUGACCACUGGUUCUGUGGUGAAGAUACUAAAGUGCAUGCAGCUCCUGGUGACUCUGGUGGAGGAGUCGUGUUCAAAGACAAGCUCUACGGUGUAAUCAGCUUCACCGGAAAUGAUACACAUGCAACUAUAGAAGCAUUUGGAUUCAUAGACCUUUGUUCUCAAGACUAUUUCAAAUGGAUACAAAGUGUUACCAUUCGAAAGAGAAAGUUAAGUCACUCUUAACUCACUCUGAGUUUAAAGGGGACAUGACACAUUAAACAUAGUUAUAAUAAUUUAAAGAAAGUCUCCCACACCAAAAAGAUUAUAUAUGUUUUAUCGCUAAUGGCCAAAGGAUUUUCAAAAUCUUACCAUUUAAGUUUCACUGUUAAAACACAGGACGUCGCCAUCACGAUUGUGUCGCCAGACGUGACAUCAUUGGAUUGGUCGGCUGACUUUGAAGACACACUGAGAAGCUGCAUGUACAUUGAAAAAAUGCAAACAAAUGGGAACAAGAGACCAAAAAGUUGAGCUGGCAAUUUAUUGAAAACAAUGAUUUAACUGAAAUAGGCUGUUCAUUGAUCAGCUGAUCAAAACUUUAAAGCCCUUUUUGCACGGGAGUAGUUUUACCAGGGGACCUCUGGUAAUUUCUAAUAAUGACAGAG